Molecule: ribosomal RNA, 207 nt
Filed under: uncultured bacterium
Lineage: Bacteria
Description: partial 16S ribosomal RNA
Rfam family: Bacterial small subunit ribosomal RNA
Source: RNAcentral
UGCGUAGACGGCAUGUUAAGUCCGCUGUUAAAUUUCCCGGCCUAACUGGGAGCAAGCGGUGGAUACUGAUGUGCUAGAGGAUGGAAGAGAGAAGUGGAAUUCCCGGAGUAGCGGUAAAAUGCGUAGAUCUCGGGAGGAACACCAAUGGCGAAGGCAGCUUCUUGGUCCAUAUCUGACGUUGAGGCACGAAAGCGUGGGGAGCAAACA